RNAcentral lists this ribosomal RNA (377 nucleotides) under uncultured bacterium. Its description in RNAcentral is "bacterial SSU rRNA". It matches the Rfam family "Bacterial small subunit ribosomal RNA", at positions 521 to 896 of the family's 1533-position model. The record is from RNAcentral.
UAAGACGAACCGUCCAAACGUUAUUCGGAAUUACUGGGCUUAAAGGGUGCGUAGGCGGCGCGGAAAGUAGGGUGUGAAAUCCCUCGGCUUAACCGAGGAAUGGCGCUCUAAACUACCGUGCUUGAGGAAGAUAGAGGAGAGCGGAACUUAGGGUGGAGCGGUGAAAUGCGUUGAUAUCCUAAGGAACACCGGUGGCGAAGGCGGCUCUCUGGAUCUUUUCUGACGCUGAGGCACGAAAGCUAGGGGAGCGAACGGGAUUAGAUACCCCGGUAGUCCUAGCUGUAAACGAUGAGCACUGGAUCGGAGGGACCCUCAUAUCCUUCUGGUCGAACCGAAAGAGUUAAGUGCUCCGCCUGGGGAGUAUGGUCGCAAGGCUG